UUUGACAGGUUAAAAACCCUUUCCUCCUUUAUCUGAUUUUUUUCUACUUUUCUGAACACAGACCCGUAAGUGAAAACUUUUCGACAUCUAAUUUCACUUUUCUGCACCAAUUCAAGUUAGGAGUAUACUUUACAUCACUUUUCUGGCCAAUUGCUUCAUAUAUAAGGCCCUCCAAUUCAGAUUUUUUGUGGCACAAUACGAAAGCACCACCAGCAAGGAGGAACAAGAAGAGGAAGUAGUCGCUCUAAUCGAACACCGCACCCAUGAAGUCGAAAACAUCCACAAACGCGUCGCUUAUUACCAAUCUCUGGUCACUCUUUUCACUACUACAACUACUAUUACUACUUCCCUUUCAAUAUCAUGCUUGUUUUUUUUUGUGGUGUAUACAAGAAUGUUGUUUUUUAUCACUGUUAUCAUAGAUUUGUUUGUUCUGAAGUGAAGCUUUGUUGUGUGUUAUAGCUACUAAAGGUGUAGAUUUUAUAGGGUGGUUAAUAUAAGAUUGUGAAUGAUGUGCAGCUUGAGGAGGCAGAGAAAAGGUUGCAGGAUUCUGAAUCGAACCAGCCAAUGCAGUUUCGUCUAGGAAAAAUAACAGCUUGGAUAAUGGGAUUAAACCGGUGAAGAUGGACUGGCGAUCAAGCAGUCCUGUUGAUAGGAAUGAAGUUUUUUUCCAUGUGAUACUAAUUUAGUUUUAAUGAAGUUCGAAAAAUGUGCUAAAGUUUUGGAACAUGUUGUCAGUCCUCGAGGUGCUAAUUGGAUGCACAUUUUAUAUCAGGUUGACGUGCUACCAUUUUGCCCUGGUGAAUUUUGAGAUACUCUUUCAAGAAGUACUGAUGUAUCUUAAUGAUGCUUCUCCUUAUGUCUGUCUAAUUGGCCAAUUGUUGUCUUUAUUACUUUGAAUAUCAUUUCCUUCAUUACUAAAUGAUUUAGAAAUCCUAUUGCAUGGGAAAGCUUGAAAACUUUAGUGCACUGGUUUUCUUCCUUUGCACAAAUAAAAGCAAAGUUGUAAUUUCUUUUUCCAGGUCCAUACAAAUGAAUAGGACUCCAGAUAGGCUACUUGUCAUUUUGGGGUUAGUAAAUUGGAAUGAC
Molecule: long non-coding RNA, 1086 nt
Organism: Lotus japonicus
Lineage: Eukaryota; Viridiplantae; Streptophyta; Magnoliopsida; Fabales; Fabaceae
Exons: 3
Source: RefSeq, a predicted model, not a curated record